AUGAUGUGGAGGCCCUGGGAACAGGUUCUCAGGCGGCGAGGGGUCCCCACCAUGAGCAAACCACCCCAAAUCUGUUAAUCACCCACCGGGGCGGUCCCGUCGAGAAAGGGUGGGAAAUGGAGCCAGGCGCUCCUGCUGGCCGCGCACCGGGCGCCUCACACCAGCCACAACGGCCUUGACCCUGGGCCCCGGCACUCUGUCUGGCAGAUGAGGCCAACAUCUGGUCACAUCCCGCCCGCACAGGGUGGAGGGCAACCUCGGGGUCCAGGCACCUGGCUCCAAGCCUCGGACUGCAGAGCUAGGAGGCCCGACUUCCAGCCCAGCAGUAGAAGCCACACGGCCACUGGUCCCCUCCAGACCUGGGGCCCCGGCACAACCGCAGGACAGCUGAGGACUUCCCAGGAAUCCAGACUCCGGGUUGCUCAAGUUUGGAUCUAAGGGGCGAGAAACUUCUGGGUCUCCCGAGGCCUUGCAGGGAUGCUGUAGCUGAGGUCGGCAAACACUGAAAUGCUAACAAACGCAACCUUAAAUGUAACCUUUCCUACUUUCAGAAACUGCCGGAGGAAAUUGCUUUAUUUAUGGAGCUAGCAUUUGAACAGGCCUCGCACCCUCCCUGGGCUGUCACGCUCGCUGGAGGUUAGCCUCGUCUUGUAAAUACUUAGGAUUACAGGUCGCUCUUCUAGAAAUCCCCUUAGUGAUCCCUAAGCCUUUUUAAAGGGCUGUGUUUGUGAAUUGUCUCUGCCACUAGGGCAAAGGGGCGGUUUGGAAAAUUUGUUCCAACAAAAGUUAAGUUGUAGCUUACACUGGUUCUCUGCAGAGAAGCCAACAUAGAAAACACAAUUUUAAAAGAGGGAAGAGAAGAAAUGGAAGCAGAAGAUUAUGCUGGAGUAAUUAACACCAUGUGCAUGGCGAGGAAACGCCUCCCGGCAUUCAAUGAAGAUCGCUGAUACCCAGAAGACACCCCAGUAUUAUGGGUGCAGUUAGUGUGUCUUUGAAAAGCUGAUGAUGUCUUAGUCAUCACAGUGUAAAACAUCAAGAGUGUUCUAACAACAAUAAAAAAAUUCUAUCAUUGGCUUAAAACACCACAACACUUGAGUGGGGUGAGCUUCCUACCUCAGACCCAGAUGUUUCUA
This 1133-nucleotide long non-coding RNA is filed under the name Homo sapiens (human). Its description in RNAcentral is "HSALNT0083173". The record is from RNAcentral. Lineage: Eukaryota; Metazoa; Chordata; Mammalia; Primates; Hominidae.